RNAcentral lists this ribosomal RNA (497 nucleotides) under uncultured bacterium. Its description in RNAcentral is "partial 16S ribosomal RNA". It matches the Rfam family "Bacterial small subunit ribosomal RNA", at positions 28 to 507 of the family's 1533-position model. The record is from RNAcentral.
GAUGAACGCUGGCGGCGUGCCUAAUACAUGCAAGUCGAGCGAACAGACGAGGAGCUUGCUCCUCUGACGUUAGCGGCGGACGGGUGAGUAACACGUGGAUAACCUACCUAUAAGACUGGGAUAAAUUCGUGAAACCGGUGCUAAUACCGGAUAAUAUAUUCAACCGCAUGGUUCAAUAGUGAAAGACGGUUUUGCUGUCACUUAUAGAUGGAUCCGCGCCGCAUUAGCUAGUUGGUAAGGUAACGGCUUACCAAGGCGACGAUGCGUAGCCGACCUGAGAGGGUGAUCAGCCACACUGGAACUGAGACACGGUCCAGACUCCUACGGGAGGCAGCAGUAGGGAAUCUUGCGCAAUGGGCGAAAGCCUGACGGAGCAACGCCGCGUGAGUGAUGAAGGUCUUCGGAUCGUAAAACUCUGUUAUUAGGGAAGAACAAAUGUGCAAGUAACUAUGCACGUCUUGACGGUACCUAAUCAGAAAGCCACGGCUAACUACGUG